AUGGCAUUAGUGGCAGGCAGCAGGUUUGGUAACACACGCACAGGUAAAGCGCGAGCGGAGAGAUGGGGGUUGGUUUUGAUUUGGAGACAGGGAUGAGACAGAGCAUGGGAUGGGGCCAUCAACAAAGUGGAGGGACUAGCUUGCGAGGCAGAAAGAAGGUGCCAGUGCCGGUGCCUCCCCGGUGAAACGAUGAUGGGAGUGUUGUUGCUCCCUCCCCUGCACUGCCUCUUCCCUGGCUCCGAUCCCCCACCGUUGCCCAUCCAUCAUCUCCCUCUCGCUCUCGUUUAUGCUCUUGCCUGCAUUCUUUUUCACAGUAGGCAUGCAGUACUACUUUUGGUUCUCUUUGCAAUAUAUAUACUGCAGGUUUGCUAAUCGCUAAGAGCCUAAGAAUCUUCCGCCUGGAGUGGACUGUACUUUCAGGAAAAAUCGUUCUAAAAUAUCCGGUCUGCAUCUUCGGGGAGGACGAUUGGGCGCGACGAUGCCUCGGUACCCCAAGAAACAGGAUCCCAUCGAUCGGUGCUCAAGCUCGCCAGCAACCAAAGAAAAGAUGCCUCCAAGAAAAACAAUUUCCAGCUUCCCCGAUUCAACACAUGUGGAUUAGCACAAACUCUCUUGUUUAGCUUUGAUUUAGAUCUAGUUCCUCUGAAUUGGUCCCACCUAAUUCUUGACCCUUCGGGCGGUGUAUAGUCGGACGGAGGACUCUCGUUAAUUAUUACCAAAACGCUGCAAGAUGAUUUCUCA
Molecule: precursor RNA, 741 nt
Filed under: Zea mays
Lineage: Eukaryota; Viridiplantae; Streptophyta; Magnoliopsida; Poales; Poaceae
Description: precursor miRNA zma-miR408
Rfam family: MIR408 microRNA precursor family (bases 68-256)
Source: RNAcentral